CACAACGUAGGUUUUUCAAAAAUUACAACUCCUUACCAAACACAAAAGCAUGAUAAAGGGAUAUUUACAUUAAAGGAAAUCAAAUGUAUUGUCAUUGUGACCAGGAAGUACAUUUGAUAUGGACGAAAAAAACAUGAAGAAUGUUCUUUUUAAGCUAAAAAAACACUUCAACUCUACGCAUAGACUACGACUCUUGUAAUUGUAUCACCUCAAAAUGCCAAACGAAAAAGGUGAAAUCAAGACAUGCACAUAUCUUUUCGUGCAUGUAUUAGGGUUUAUCACAAUCUAAUAGGUCUUACCAAUGUGAUAAACAAAUUUAAACAUUUUUCUUCUAAUCCACUCACAUUUUGGACAAUAAAAAUAGAUUACUGACUCCCUGCCCUAAGAAAUUAAAAGAAACUUUCCUUUACACAUCUUGAUUUGCUACUAAUUUUUUUACCUUUUCAUUAUCAAACUUGCUACUUUUUACUGCCCAAAAAAUAAAAACAUUAAUCUCUCACCUUGACCUGGGCUUAGUACGAACAGUACUGUAUGUGGCCCGAGCCCUGGCCCUGGGGCUUGAUUUGCUGCUGUUGUUUUGUCGGGACAAUUCUGUCCAUGGAUCGAUAAUUGAGUCCCUAUACUUGUAGGGCAGCGCCUGAGUCCUCCCCCGAUUCGACCGGAUCACCGGCGGCACGACAUUCUCCGCCUCUACUACCUUUACCCUGUCAUUCUUAUCGUUGUAGUCCACCGUCACAGCCGCCGCCGCCGCAGUAUUUUCAGUUUGGUUCAUAUUCCUCUGUUGUCUCGACUCUAUUUGUAACUCACCACUGAGUUCCAGUUCUUCACUCGAUCUCCGUCUCUUAUUCUGUUUCCGAGUUUGAAUUUCCCGUCCAUCUUUCUC
This 883-nucleotide long non-coding RNA is filed under the name Olea europaea (common olive). RNAcentral describes it as "long non-coding RNA (OEUR_LNC010700)". Lineage: Eukaryota; Viridiplantae; Streptophyta; Magnoliopsida; Lamiales; Oleaceae. The record is from RNAcentral.